GGUUCCAUAGUGUAAUGGUAAGCACUCUGGAUUUUGAAUCCAGUGAUCUGAGUUCAAAUCUUGGUGGAACCU
Molecule: non-coding RNA, 72 nt
Organism: Etheostoma cragini (Arkansas darter)
Lineage: Eukaryota; Metazoa; Chordata; Actinopteri; Perciformes; Percidae
Source: the annotation of a RefSeq genome assembly